Molecule: ribosomal RNA, 275 nt
Filed under: uncultured bacterium
Lineage: Bacteria
Description: partial 16S ribosomal RNA
Rfam family: Bacterial small subunit ribosomal RNA
Source: RNAcentral
AUACGGAGGGUGCAAGCGUUAAUCGGAAUUACUGGGCGUAAAGGGUUCGUAGGCGGUUAUUUAAGUCAGAUGUGAAAGCCCCGGGCUCAACCUGGGAAUUGCAUCUGAUACUGGGUAACUAGAGUUUAAGAGAGGAGUGUGGAAUUUCCGGUGUAGCGGUGAAAUGCAUAGAGAUCGGAAGGAACAUCAGUGGCGAAGGCGGCACUCUGGCUUAAAACUGACGCUGAGGAACGAAAGCGUGGGUAGCAAACAGGAGUAGAAACCCCUAGUAGUCC